UUGGUUAAGUUAGAAAGGGCGCACGGUGGAUGCCUUGGCACUAGGAGCCGAAGAAGGACGGGACUAACACCGAUAUGCUUUGGGGAGCUGUACGUAAGCGUUGAUCCAGAGAUUUCCGAAUGGGGGAACCCACUAUCUUUAGUCGGAUAGUAUCCUUACGUGAAUACAUAGCGUGAGGAAGGCAGACCCAGGGAACUGAAACAUCUAAGUACCUGGAGGAAGAGAAAGAAAAAUCGAUUUCCUGAGUAGCGGCGAGCGAAACGGAAAGAGCCCAAACCAAGAAGCUUGCUUCUUGGGGUUGUAGGACACUCUAUACGGAGUUACAAAAGAAAGUUAUAAAUGAAGCGGUCUGGAAAGGCCCGCCAAAGACGGUAACAGCCCGGUAGUUGAAAUGGCUUUCCCUCCAGAGUGGAUCCUGAGUACGGCGGAACACGUGAAAUUCCGUCGGAAUCCGGGAGGACCAUCUCCCAAGGCUAAAUACUCCCUAGUGACCGAUAGUGAACCAGUACCGUGAGGGAAAGGUGAAAAGCACCCCGGAAGGGGAGUGAAACAGUUCCUGAAACCGUGUGCCUACAAGUAGUUAGAGCCCGUUAAUGGGUGAUAGCGUGCCUUUUGUAGAAUGAACCGGCGAGUUACGAUUUGUUGCAAGGUUAAGCGGAAAAAGCGGAGCCGUAGCGAAAGCGAGUCUGAAUAGGGCGCAUAAGUAACAGGUCGUAGACCCGAAACCAGGUGAUCUACCCAUGUCCAGGAUGAAGGUAAGGUAAUACUUACUGGAGGUCCGAACCCACGCACGUUGAAAAGUGCGGGGAUGAGGUGUGGGUAGCGGAGAAAUUCCAAUCGAACUUGGAGAUAGCUGGUUCUCUCCGAAAUAGCUUUAGGGCUAGCCUCGAGGUAAAGAGUCAUGGAGGUAGAGCACUGUUUGGACUAGGGGCCCUUCUCGGGUUACCGAAUUCAGAUAAACUCCGAAUGCCAUGUACUUAUACUCGGGAGUCAGACUGCGAGUGAUAAGAUCCGUAGUCGAAAGGGAAACAGCCCAGACCACCAGUUAAGGUCCCCAAAUAUAUGUUAAGUGGAAAAGGAUGUGGGGUUGCUUAGACAACCAGGAUGUUGGCUUAGAAGCAGCCACCAUUGAAAGAGUGCGUAAUAGCUCACUGGUCGAGUGACCCCGCGCCGAAAAUGUACCGGGGCUAAACAUAUUACCGAAACUGUGGAUGAACCUCUUUAGAGGUUCGUGGUAGGAGAGCGUUCUAAGGGCGGUGAAGUCAGACCGGAAGGACUGGUGGAGCGCUUAGAAGUGAGAAUGCCGGUAUGAGUAGCGAAAGAAGGGUGAGAAUCCCUUCCACCGAAUAUCUAAGGUUUCCUGAGGAAGGC
Molecule: ribosomal RNA, 1371 nt
Filed under: Listeria monocytogenes
Lineage: Bacteria; Bacillati; Bacillota; Bacilli; Caryophanales; Listeriaceae
Description: partial 23S ribosomal RNA
Rfam family: Bacterial large subunit ribosomal RNA
Source: RNAcentral